Molecule: long non-coding RNA, 1110 nt
Organism: Gossypium raimondii (Peruvian cotton)
Lineage: Eukaryota; Viridiplantae; Streptophyta; Magnoliopsida; Malvales; Malvaceae
Exons: 2
Source: RefSeq, a predicted model, not a curated record
CUAUCAUAUUAGGGUAACUAUUAGGGUAACCAUAAAGGGUCCUGGCUUGCGGCGGACACAAAGGUUGAUUUUGAAAUUAUCCAAAGCAACUUUCUCUAGAAGCCGACUGACCAUAAUCACCACUGCGAAGCCCUUGACCACUGUAUGUCGAUGAAGUCUUAUUGAAAUUAUCCGGUCCAUUGUAAGUACGAUUGAACCGAUAGAAACCUUUUUUAGCCAAAUGUCUGAACUGAUUACAAAUCUGACACUACACUCACGAUCGAAAACCACGGCCAUGCGAACGUCCACCACUCACAUCACGCGUCGAACCGGAGUUAGCCACUGCAGCAACCAAGGGUGAGUCAAUAAGAUGGGCUUGCAUCAGAACCUCACGCAUCUCACGCGCCACCCUCAUCUGUCGAUUCUCAAGUUCCAAAAGAACAUCGACCAACCGUUGGAAAGAGAGCCUCUGUCGAGAACACGGCUAAGGUCAGCACACCAUCAAACUCUGACGAAAGACCGACCAAAACAACCUCGACUUUUUCAGCUUCUGACACCGCCGAUCCAGAGGUUGCAAGCAACGCACGCAGGUUUUCUAUUUUUGCAACAGAAUCUCGGACAGUUAACUCACCUUUCUUUAACGAAUGCAAAUCAUGCUUAACGUAAGAAAUUUUCGCACCAGUAGAAGCGGUAAAAAGGUGAUUUACAGGCCAAAUCUCGCAUGCAGACUUAGCAGAGAGAUGCAUCCGAAUUUGGAAGAAGCGUACCUUCUGAAGAUGCGACAAAACGAGGUGGAGCAGCCACUGUACCGUCCAAGAACCCUUGCAGCUCAUAUCCUUCUAUUAUGAGCCGGGCAUGUUACUACCACUAAACAAAGCUUCCCUCCUCUAACUUUACCGUGUCAUGAUGAGGGAACGAUUAAACUAACCGAACACUUGAUCCUGACGAACUCACAGGAUCAGUAGAUUCAGAACCAGUGGAUGGCACCAUACCGCGAAGAACGGAAGCAUGUACCAGGACUUAGGUGACUGAUACCAUGUAAGAAACUAUCAAAUGAGAAGAAAACUAGCUAUAGUGUAAUUCUUUAAUCUUUGCUACUUAGUCUGGAAUGAAUACAUUGAUGAGUUUAUA